Molecule: non-coding RNA, 81 nt
Filed under: Nostoc sp. PCC 7120 = FACHB-418
Lineage: Bacteria; Bacillati; Cyanobacteriota; Cyanophyceae; Nostocales; Nostocaceae
Description: Nostoc sp. PCC 7120 Photosynthesis regulatory RNA1
Rfam family: Photosynthesis regulatory RNA1
About the family: Formerly known as Syr1 discovered in Synechocystis sp PCC 6803, is a regulatory factor controlling photosynthetic functions. PsrR1 interacts with the ribosome binding regions of several photosynthesis-related mRNAs. In particular, psaL mRNA is processed by RNase E only in the presence of PsrR1.
Source: Rfam by way of RNAcentral
CCAAAUUUAGACUCAGUAUUUAUAUUUUUAAUUGACAUUUGGACUUCUCCUAAUCACCUCGGUUACAUAGCCGGGGUAUUU